AGGAUGAACGCUGGCGGUCUGCUUAACACAUGCAAGUCGAACGGAGUACCUCGGUACUUAGUGGCGGACGGGUGAGUAACGCGUGAGAAUCUGCCCUUAGGUCGGGGACAACCAUUGGAAACGAUGGCUAAUACCGGAUAAGCCGAGAGGUAAAAGAUUAAUUGCCUAGGGAAGAGCUCGCGUCUGAUUAGCUAGUUGGUGAGGUAAAGGCUCACCAAGGCAUCGAUCAGUAGCUGGUCUGAGAGGAUGAUCAGCCACACUGGGACUGAGACACGGCCCAGACUCCUACGGGAGGCAGCAGUGGGGAAUUUUCCGCAAUGGGCGAAAGCCUGACGGAGCAAGACCGCGUGAGGGAGGAAGGCUCUUGGGUUGUAAACCUCUUUUCUGGGGAAGAACAAAAUGACGGUACCCAAGGAAUCAGCAUCGGCUAACUCCGUGCCAGCAGCCGC
Molecule: ribosomal RNA, 449 nt
Filed under: uncultured bacterium
Lineage: Bacteria
Description: SSU rRNA
Rfam family: Bacterial small subunit ribosomal RNA
Source: RNAcentral